GAUGAACGCUAGCGGCAGGCCUAACACAUGCAAGUCGAGGGGUAGCAGGAUUAAGCUUGCUUAAUUGCUGACGACCGGCGCACGGGUGCGUAACACGUAUGCAACCUACCUUAUACUGGGGUAUAGCCCGGAGAAAUUCGGAUUAAUCCCCCAUAGUACUAAUGAAUCGCAUGGUUUAUUAGUUAAAGCAUUGCGGUAUAAGAUGGGCAUGCGUCCUAUUAGCUAGAUGGUGAGGUAACGGCUCACCAUGGCUACGAUAGGUAGGGGGCCUGAGAGAGUGGUCCCCCACACUGGUACUGAGACACGGACCAGACUCCUACGGGAGGCAGCAGUGAGGAAUAUUGGUCAAUGGGCGCAAGCCUGAACCAGCCAUGCCGCGUGCAGGAAGAAUGCCCUAUGGGUUGUAAACUGCUUUUAUUUGGGAAUAGACCUCUUUACGUGUAGAGAGCUGAAGGUACCAAAUGAAUAAGCACCGGCUAACUCCGUGCCAGCCGCCGCCGUAA
RNAcentral lists this ribosomal RNA (503 nucleotides) under uncultured bacterium. Its description in RNAcentral is "partial 16S ribosomal RNA". It matches the Rfam family "Bacterial small subunit ribosomal RNA", at positions 28 to 523 of the family's 1533-position model. The record is from RNAcentral.